This 253-nucleotide ribosomal RNA is filed under the name uncultured bacterium. RNAcentral describes it as "partial 16S ribosomal RNA". It matches the Rfam family "Bacterial small subunit ribosomal RNA", at positions 524 to 776 of the family's 1533-position model. The record is from RNAcentral.
UACGAAGGGGGCUAGCGUUGCUCGGAUUGACUGGGCGUAAAGGGCGCGUAGGCGGCUUGUACAGUCAGACGUGAAAUUCCUGGGCUCAACCUGGGGGCUGCGUUUGAUACGUAUGGGCUUGAGUUCGGAAGAGGGUCGUGGAAUUCCCAGUGUAGAGGUGAAAUUCGUAGAUAUUGGGAAGAACACCGGUGGCGAAGGCGGGUCUCUGGGCCGAUACUGACGCUGAGGAGCGAAAGCCAGGGGAGCAAACGGG